CUACUGGCAGAGAACUGUGAUAGCCCCCGCAGAAACGGUUCAUUAACGAAAAUGAGUGCAUGCAAAAAAAAAAUAUCCAGCUAGCAACAAAUCAAAAUACAGCAAGAUGAGGCAUCAUGGAGCAGCAUUUCUGGUAUUUGAUCAUCCAAUCAUCGAGACCAUAAAUCCAAGAAGUCAUACCCCAUGACCCUGAGGUGGGACUUCAUCCAGUUUGUCUUUCCCACAUCACCACAUACGUUCAUUGAGCUAUUCCAAGUCAGAGCCUUGUCUUCUCCAGAUUUGACUACUUCAACUCACACCAUGCUGGACUUCCUGAAAUCUCAGAUUAUCCUCCACUGAUUUGCACCUUGCUCUCUUUAUGUUCAGGAUUCCAAUUCUAACCUACAAUGCCAGAAAAUGACUAGCUCCGUAAAAUCUCUCGACCUGCAUGAAGUUAUGUACUGUUGUUUUUUCUCUGUGAUCUACGAUGUUGGCAUUCUUUAAGUUGCCUUCUCUUUAGGGAUUCACUGGACAAUCUCCCGGACAUCACUGUGUGCUGUUGCCCAACUGCUUGAAUGAGUUUCAUUCAUUAUAAAUCCAAAGUCCCUUGUUUGUAAAUGCAGAUUUAAGAACCACCUAUGCAUGUAUAUUUUUUUGUGGAAUACUGGUGGUCAACAUGAGCCACAAAAAUUAUUAUGAAGUGUGCCAGACUUUGCAGACCCAAGAUUGGGGGCAGGAAAAGGGCCUCCUGAAAUUAACACCCCCCCCCCAACUUUGUGAUUAAAGUCAAAUACUUUUUGAGGCACCACUGAGUUUGGCAGGCAAGAAUAUGGUCUUAUCCUAAUUAGUUACAACAGGACCACAUUAUAAAUAUAAUUUAUAAAAUGAUAUAAACAUUUCAGAGCAAUGAUGGCUGAAUUAUUAUCAUUACACUUUACAAAACACUAGUCGAAUAAGAAAUAUGAGAUAUGACCGAUUUUGCGAAUGAUUUGUUUAUAGUUAUACACUUGAAACAAAUUGCCUACCACAAACUACACACAGUGCCUUCCCAAGCGAUCACCCUGCCUUAAAAAAUCUAAUGAAACGCAUCUUAACGCAGUCAUCGAAUACUGCUUUGAUGUAGACAAUUAAAUGAAAGCUUUUUGAUACGAAGAUUAGUGAAAUAUGUAGGCUAAACUGUCCUCUCAACAAGCAAACAAGUCGCAGCAAUGAGAACCGAGAGAGUGCGCGUUUUGGGGACCCCGAACUCGGCGGUCGGCAGACCGAAGACAGUUUUACCGAUAUUUAAGCGAAGUCGAAUUUGUGAAUCUGUAACUAUCUUUACCGCAGUGUUGCAGGCAUCAAAUUCAAAGCGGUGUAGAUGUAGUGAUUGUAUGAGUUAGUGAAC
Molecule: long non-coding RNA, 1366 nt
Organism: Esox lucius (northern pike)
Lineage: Eukaryota; Metazoa; Chordata; Actinopteri; Esociformes; Esocidae
Exons: 4
Source: RefSeq, a predicted model, not a curated record